GAUGAACGCUAGCGACAGGCUUAACACAUGCAAGUCGAGGGGCAGCAAGAAUUGUAGCAAUACAAUUUGUUGGCGACCGGCGCACGGGUGAGUAACGCGUAUGCAACCUACCUAUCAGAGGGGGAUAGCCCGGUGAAAGCCGGAUUAAUACCGCAUAAAACAGGGGUCCCGCAUGGGAAUAUUUGUUAAAGAUUAAUUGCUGAUAGAUGGGCAUGCGUUCCAUUAGUUAGUUGGUGUAGGUAACGGCUCACCAAGACAUCGAUGGAUAGGGGUUCUGAGAGGAAGGUCCCCCACACUGGUACUGAGACACGGACCAGACUCCUA
RNAcentral lists this ribosomal RNA (324 nucleotides) under uncultured bacterium. Its description in RNAcentral is "bacterial SSU rRNA". It matches the Rfam family "Bacterial small subunit ribosomal RNA", at positions 28 to 341 of the family's 1533-position model. The record is from RNAcentral.